Long non-coding RNA from Pezoporus occidentalis (night parrot), 859 nucleotides. RefSeq lists it as uncharacterized. The transcript has 3 exons. NCBI's taxonomy places the organism in Eukaryota, Metazoa, Chordata, Aves, Psittaciformes, Psittacidae. The record is from RefSeq and is a predicted model, not a curated record.
AUAUUUAUCAGGGCAUAAACCUUCUUAAUAUAAAUGUUUUCAACUCUGCUUUCUAUCUUUCAACCAUUUCCAGCAGCAAAAAUUACUACACUUCAUGUCAAAUUCAGUACGCUGGCUCCCUGGCUGCAGCAAACUGCGACCCUCUGAUGAAACCAAAAGCCGGAAAAGCUUAAACUGUCUGAAAUGAGUAACAAAACAAAGAACAGUUGCUAGUUCUCUGGUUUCAGGUGAUGAUAUCAUUACGGGGGUUCAUUAAAGAACUCAUCUUCAGCUUUCUCCAAUCCAAAUGCUUCUUAAAGAUUAGUUCUCAAAAUGGAUCUGAAAGCUUCUGUCUCUUGAGGAUGUCUCAGCAGCCCAGUGUUUAACUAAACAAACAGCCCAACAGUCAUCCCAAUGAUCAUGUCAACAUAAUGUAUUCAUUAACUAUUUUAGCAGCUCCUAAUCCAUCACUCUGGAUAUUAGAGCCUGACCUGGACACAGAAGGCAUUGUCUUUAAGGACAAGUGUUCUGUUUGGCUUAAACUUCAUUCAACUGAGUUAGUUCAAAGUGAUGAUAAGCACAGCUGGGCUUUUUUAAAUGAGGAAGAAUAUAAUCUAAACCACACUUCAAAUACAUAGAUUCAGGUCUUCAUUUUUAACCAGGAGUGCAAUUAACUACUGAAACAGGCUAACAAAGGAAGUAUGGGACUGUCUGUUUCCUGGAAACUUAAUGCCAAGAUAAAUGGGUAUGGUUUAGUUAUUCAAUAAGAUCCAAGUGGUGACUAGGAGGAAAGGGAUGAGGGAAGUACGAAAACUGAAGCUUUAUGUUAUACUGCAGGUGACAUUAAAAUUAUCCAUUCUGGCCUAUAAAAGACGCUCUG